Molecule: long non-coding RNA, 217 nt
Filed under: Phoenix dactylifera (date palm)
Lineage: Eukaryota; Viridiplantae; Streptophyta; Magnoliopsida; Arecales; Arecaceae
Description: long non-coding RNA (PDAC_LNC014260)
Source: RNAcentral
UCUAUCGAGCACCCAUCACCGAUCACCCAUCUAAUCUCCGGAAGCACCACCAUAGCCCUGGCACACAUCACACGCCAUAUCGGAGAGUGGUGACGCUCCACCCGCCCUCCAGGCACCAAGACACCAUAUUUGGCCCUCAUCAGUGAGGACCACAUGCUCUCUGGCUCAAGCACAAAUCUGACUACAUGCCUAGCCGCUAACACCUCCCGUCUCGUCA